GCAGAACGGGCAUCUGAGAGUCAAAUUUUGGCACUACUACCAGGCAUUAACAAAAGCCUUAGAAAAUUAAGUAGAAUAUUCUAAGAUCGAUAAGCAAUUAAUUGAAGAUGUAAACAGAAAGUGUUACCUACAGGUUUAGCACAAAUAAAUGAUGGGAGAAU
This is a long non-coding RNA of Cygnus olor (mute swan), 161 nucleotides long. RefSeq lists it as uncharacterized. Lineage: Eukaryota; Metazoa; Chordata; Aves; Anseriformes; Anatidae. The transcript has 3 exons. The record is from RefSeq and is a predicted model, not a curated record.